RNAcentral lists this unclassified non-coding RNA (761 nucleotides) under Hevea brasiliensis (rubber tree). The record is from RNAcentral. Lineage: Eukaryota; Viridiplantae; Streptophyta; Magnoliopsida; Malpighiales; Euphorbiaceae.
AAUGUAUAACUGAAGAUUGUUGGCAUGGCCUACAGUUCUUUAUAUUGUGUGGACACAUAUCUUUGCCCGGGGGGAAGGGGGGUAUGGAAGUUAAUACCAUUUCGAUUAAGUUUCAAUAACUGAAUAAUGGAAUAUAGAUGGGAUAGAGAGUUGGGUUAUACUCCCCCAGUUCACCAGUAUUUCUCCAGUGACCCCAAGUACAUGGUUUAUGAGGGAAGUUAUAAAUUUUAUAAUGGGCUUUGAUAGGGAUCUUUGAAACUUGCAUAUGCAAGUUAAAUGUAAUUUAGUAAUUUAACAUUUCUGGUAUUAUUUAAUUAGACCUACUUUAUGAAUGAUUCUCUGGCUGUUGUAUUAUAUUGUGAAAAUUAUGUAUAACUGAAGAUUGUUUGCAUGGCCUACAGUUCUUUAAAUUGUGUGGACCCAUAUCUUUGCACAAGGACACAUUCAAUUAACAUGCUUUGACUUAUAUAGCAUAUUCUUUCUCUCUUCUUCCCAGAAGGAGAUUUAAAUAAUCUGCUUUGAUAUCAAGAUUUUGCUCUCUAGAUAAAUCUAUGCGUAGCAAGCACAUAAAUACUCAAACUUGAAAACUAACUUUUUGGUAAGUAUUCAAGCUCUUACUAAGCCAACAAUCCUGCAUAUAAUUCAUUCAAUUACCAUUUUCUUCAACUACCAAAGCACAUGCAUCUGCAUGCAUACAAUUUUUUUAGCAUAUGAAGCUAUGUCUAAGUUUGCUUAUCCUAAAUUUGGCGUCCAUUCUGUGU